GGGUUGCUAACUCAAUGGUAGAGUACUCGGCUUUUAACCGACUAGUUCCCGGUUCGAGUCCGGGGCAACCCA
Molecule: transfer RNA, 72 nt
Filed under: Dioscorea sansibarensis
Lineage: Eukaryota; Viridiplantae; Streptophyta; Magnoliopsida; Dioscoreales; Dioscoreaceae
Description: tRNA-Lys
Rfam family: tRNA
About the family: Transfer RNA (tRNA) molecules are approximately 80 nucleotides in length. Their secondary structure includes four short double-helical elements and three loops (D, anti-codon, and T loops).
Source: RNAcentral